Non-coding RNA from Glossina palpalis gambiensis, 89 nucleotides. The record is from Rfam. Lineage: Eukaryota; Metazoa; Arthropoda; Insecta; Diptera; Glossinidae.
AGGUACUUUUUAGUACGUAGGCGCCCUGGAUGCCGAAUCGUGCAUGCUGUUAGGAAGAACCAGCAGUAUCUCUUAAAGAUUUUCUACCU